Molecule: non-coding RNA, 1185 nt
Organism: Danio rerio (zebrafish)
Lineage: Eukaryota; Metazoa; Chordata; Actinopteri; Cypriniformes; Danionidae
Source: RefSeq, a predicted model, not a curated record
CAGACAUCGCAAAUGGUGAAUCAAAUGCUCAAACAGACAUCGCAAAUGAUAAAUCAAAUGCAAAUGAGGUGUCAAUCAACCAGCAUAGGCGGAGCUUUAAGGCGGAAGAGUUUGUUGUUGACAACAACCGGUAGCGCUACGACUUUUUCAAGGCGUUCAGAUUUGCGUGCACUAUUCCAUGUCGUAUCCGUAUAAACUCGUGAAAGAGAAAGCGAGAAAUCUCCUAAUGCUUCUGUCCACAUUCUGAAGUGUUCAUCAGAUGGGUACAUCUAUCAUAGGAGGCCACGAAAAACCAUACGAUAACCAAGAUGAUAAAAAAAAGUUACAUAACUGACGUUAAGCGCAACUUUAAAUAAAUGGUAGGUUUAUUAAAUCUUAAUUUAAAAUAAUAUUUUAUUACAUAAGAUAUCCUUGUCAAAUGUAACCUAAUUUGUUGUUACCUUUAUUGUGUAACUUUUUUAUUCACAUGUAAAAAAUGCUUAAAGUUAGUUUUCCAGUCUUGUUUGAUUAUAUCAUCAUAUAUUCCUAUAUCAAAAGAAAAUCUAUUACAUUUGUUCUCUUUUUGCUGUUUAUGUUAAUUGUUAAGAUACAGCAAUGUUUCCCUAAGCCUGUAUGAAAUUUUUAUUUCUGCAUAAUAAUGAUUAAUAAUAAUUGUUAUUGAUAACAAUCCCAUAAUAAUACAAAUAAAAUAGCAGGGACAGAAGCAAUAACACCUAAUAGCAUCAGUAACUUGAUAACCCUACCUGAUAGCCUUUCUAAUGUUGGCACAUUGGUACAUCUGCACAAAGAUGCCGGACAGCUGCUUGAAGAUCUUCCUUUGGAGAAAUUUUACACUCGAAAAAUACAAAACCCCAUGUUCUGCUGCAUGCUGGACUUCUGGACUUCACUUGUUUUUGCCAUCACAUCCCUCAGUGCUGCAGUCAGACUGGAACAGAGUUGUGAGGUGAGGCUGUCCAUGCCUGAGAAACCGAUUCAUACUGAAGAUGAAGAGACCACACCAGCAUCUGGCUCAGAUGAGGACACGCAUGCAGGUGGAGGGAUGCAGGGUCUUGUCCAUGGCACUACAGCAUCUUCAACAUUUACUUCAUCAGCACACUGCUGUUCUUCAUCAUCAUCACUGCACACACCAGUCUGAGGACAUUUCAGAUUAUGCAAAGCUCUUAAUAAAGAAGUCAUUUAACAGCA